Molecule: long non-coding RNA, 2416 nt
Organism: Ictalurus punctatus (channel catfish)
Lineage: Eukaryota; Metazoa; Chordata; Actinopteri; Siluriformes; Ictaluridae
Source: Ensembl
UUGCUUUCCUAUUCUUUAAAAAAAAAAAAGAGAAAAACCAUCACAUUUAAACAGAAAAAGACUCAACCUCAGAUUUGGGCGGCUGUGGUUUAGGUGGUAGAGCGGGUUGUCCACUAAUGCCGGCCCACAUGCCGAAGUGUCCUUGGGCAAGACACUGAACCCCAAGUUGCUCCUCAUGGCAGGCUAGCACCUUGCGUGGCAGCUCUGCUGUCAUUAGUGUGUGUGUGUGUGUGUGAGAGAGAAUGGGUGAAUAAGACACAGUGUAUGCGCUUUGUAGAACCGCAGAGGUAAAAAAAAAAAAAAAAAAUUUUAAAAAGCGCUAUGUAAGUGCAGACCAUUUACUUCUGUAUUGUCUUGGACUUGUAUUUUUUUUAGCAGAAAGAAAAUCAAAAUAAAGCCCAUAUAUUGCAUACAUUCAUUAUAUAUAUAUAUAUAUAUAUAUAUACAUAUAUAUAUAUUUGAUACAGAUAAUCUAUAUUCAAAACUUUGAAUAGUUUUGAUAAUUCUAUUUUUAAAGAUAAGAAUAUUUAAAAUAUGCGCAAGACCUCAAAUGUGUAAUUACAGGGAUCCUACAUUGCUUUUCUGAGAAUGAUUAGGGUUUACAAAGUGUUAUUAAAGAAAAGACAGGAAGUGAUUGUACCUUAAGCAUUGAUAAUUUUAUGAUAAAUUUCCCACACAUGCACGAUCAUACACAGAAGCAGAAUGCAAGGUGAAGGCAGGGAUAUUUCACGCAAGUUGAACUGAAUUGUCGCUCCUAUGCGCAUACAUGAGCUAGUGCUUUCGUUAGAACCGCGUUUAAUGGCGUUGCAGGUUCUGCAGAGUAGAUGAGAUCAUGCAGGAGCAAUCCCUGACCUCAGGAAAUAAAGCAGGUCUGGGUCAAAUCCGAAAAAAGUUCAAUAUUACACCCUUAAGUCAGUGGAACAUAACUGAGGCAGGUUAAAACAUUUUAAAUGUUUUUUUUUUUUUUUUUUCCUUUCCAUUGCUGAGUACAUACUGUAAGCAAAUCUAUGGCAGUGCAAAACUUUGCCACAGCUUUCCCCCUUUUGCUUUAUCCCUUGACUUCUCUCUCUCUCUCUCUCUCUCUCUCUCUCUCUCUCUCUCUCUCUCUCUCUCUCUCAAAAGUUUUAGAUGGAGUUCAUCAGCGCCGCAUUACACCAGCUCUACAUGACAGCUGCCUUACUUAUUCAUACUUGUAAAAGAAUUUCAGAUAUUUUUCAUAUCUUCAGUAUAGACAUUGCUGUUUUUAUUCUACCUAUUCAUGUCAUCAUUUAUUAUUUUUAAACAGUGAUAUUUUGUACCCUUUCUUGAAAGAUUUCAGUUUCAGCAAAGUGUAUUCAAAUUCAUAAUGGCAAAUACAGUCCUUGCUUUGUAGCUUGCCUUGUACGCUGGUUUUAAUCAUUAAAAAGCCAGAAAAAGGGGAGGGGUAACAUUAUGCUAUCACAUUAUUUUUAUCUAAAUAUAUUCUUUUUUUUUUUUCUUUUUUCUUUUUUUAAUCUUGUGUACAUAUAUAUAUAUAUUUUUUCAUUUUGGUGGACUGUAGAACAAUGAAGAAGUUUCUUUAUUGUGUAUAAGGUGUCUGUUUCUUUUCUGUACAUGUAUUAAUCUCUUCCUCACCCGCACAUAUGCUUAUGCUCUCAGCAGUUAUGUGUAACACUCUAAAGAAGAUAUGUAACUUGACAUCAUGAGGAAAUGUAUUUUAGUUUCUCCUUUUUAAAACUAUAAUCAGGGUUCAUUAAAAACAGGUAAACGUGAAUCAAAUUGCCUUAGGUGUCUUUUAUUUUUAUUUCUUUUAUUCAAAUGUUGGCUAAAGAUAAAUCAUAGCUGCUUGGUGUGUAUAGACGUGCAAGUCUACUACAUGAACAUGUAACGCUGCAGUCUUUGUCUAUUAGUCCUUGAUGUUCUGUACCUUUCAUAACGAUCAUUUUCAGGUGAUAGUCUCUACUGUUGCUGUGCAAACAAAAAGAUGUGAAGAUUUCAAUCGAGAAAACAAUCAGGAGAUCACAAGUUCAAAUUUGGAGCAAAGUUGCUCUCCGGGUGUCCUGGGUCCAUGAAAGGUAAAUUCCUCGGGACCACAGAUGCUUUGCUUAACUUAAGGCCAAAACUAAUUCAGUCUCGAGUAGGUACUGCAGGUCACGGCCAAAACCAUAGAAGCAACCAUAGAAGACGGUAAAUCCUUGUUUAUUUAUCAUUAGUGUGACAAAUAUACAAAAAUAGAGAACAAAUGGUGAAAAAAAAAAAAAAAAACCUCACAGAACUGUAUGCUUACUGCAGUUACAGUGAGGGAAAAAAGUAUUUGAUCCCCUGCUGAUUUUGUACGUUUGCCCACUGACAAAGAAAUGAUCCGUCUAUAACUUUAAUGGUAGAUUUAUUUGAACAGUGAGAGACAGAAUAACAACAAAAAAAUCCAGAAAAACGC